UGGGGAAUCUUGCGCAAUGGGGGAAACCCUGACGCAGCGACGCCGCGUGCGGGAUGAAGGCCUUCGGGUUGUAAACCGCUUUCAGCAGGGACGAGGCCUUAUGGUGACGGUACCUGCAGAAGAAGCUCCGGCUAACUACGUACCAGCAGCCUCCGUAAUACGUAGGUCCCGAGCGUUGUCCGGAUUUAUUGGGCGUAAAGCGGGCGCAGGGGGUUAGAAAAGUCUGGAGUGAAAGGCAGGGGCUCAACCAUUGUAGGCUUUGGAAACUGUGUAACGUGAGUGCAGAAGGGGAGAGUGGAAUUCCAUGUGUAGAGGUGAAAUGCGUAGAUAUAUGGAGGAACACCGGUGGCGAAAGCGGCUCUCUGGUCUGUAACUGACGCGGAGGUGCGAAAGCGUGGGGAGCGAACAGG
RNAcentral lists this ribosomal RNA (410 nucleotides) under Verrucomicrobiota bacterium. RNAcentral describes it as "Verrucomicrobia bacterium partial 16S ribosomal RNA". It matches the Rfam family "Bacterial small subunit ribosomal RNA", at positions 355 to 776 of the family's 1533-position model. The record is from RNAcentral. Lineage: Bacteria; Pseudomonadati; Verrucomicrobiota.